This 55-nucleotide transfer RNA is filed under the name Ovis aries (sheep). It matches the Rfam family "tRNA", at positions 10 to 63 of the family's 71-position model. From Rfam's summary of the family: Transfer RNA (tRNA) molecules are approximately 80 nucleotides in length. The record is from Rfam by way of RNAcentral. Lineage: Eukaryota; Metazoa; Chordata; Mammalia; Artiodactyla; Bovidae.
UCUCAGUCGGUAAAGAAUCUGCCUGCAAUGCAGGAGACCCAGGUUCGAUUCCUAG